RNAcentral lists this ribosomal RNA (253 nucleotides) under uncultured bacterium. Its description in RNAcentral is "partial 16S ribosomal RNA". It matches the Rfam family "Bacterial small subunit ribosomal RNA", at positions 524 to 776 of the family's 1533-position model. The record is from RNAcentral.
UACGUAGGGUGCAGGCGUUAAUCGGAAUUACUGGGCGUAAAGCGUGCGCAGGCGGCUCUUUAAGUCAGAUGGGAAAGCCCCGGGCUUAACCUGGGAAUUGCGUUUGAAACUGGAGAGCUGGAGUGUGGAAGAGGGGGGUGGAAUUCCAGGUGUAGCAGUGAAAUGCGUAGAGAUCUGGAGGAACACCGAUGGCGAAGGCAGCCCCCUGGGCUAACACUGACGCUCAUGCACGAAAGCGUGGGGAGCAAACAGG